RNAcentral lists this long non-coding RNA (7536 nucleotides) under Sorghum bicolor (sorghum). RNAcentral describes it as "long non-coding RNA (SBIC_LNC012773)". The record is from RNAcentral. Lineage: Eukaryota; Viridiplantae; Streptophyta; Magnoliopsida; Poales; Poaceae.
ACUCCGAAUUAGAUGACAAAACGGUCCGAAAGUGGGAAAAAUUUGUGAUGGUGGCUAGAAAUUGAUGGAAACGGUGGGAAAAAAUACACGAAUUGGACUCUAACAAGACCUAACCAACAACAAGACCUUGACUAGGACACAAACUCAACACUGCAGACUCUGAAACUGAAAUAUGCAAAGGCUAUGACGCGGAAGGGUUGUAGGUCAAGAAAACGAUAUGGCACUGGACUUAUGGGACGAACACAAGAGCACUCGGAACUAAGGGUAGAUGUGAACUUAACGGUAUACCUGAAGCUUUGAUUACCACUUGAUGAGAACAAGAGUGGCCCGAUCUUCCGAAAGGUUAUGGUAACUCUCGAUUUGGCGGAGACGAGACACAAAUCGAUUCGGCUUCGAAACAACACAAUCCAAAAUCCUACUAUUUUUUAUUUUUUUAUAUUUUUCUCUGACUUAGGAGCAAUAAAGAAGUAACCGCAGAAAAUUUGGGCUUAAACAAGUGAAAGACGUGGCCUGCAGAAAUUUCUGAAGAUUGUGAAAAAUGUGAAAAAAAUUCACGAGGUGAAAACUCAAACUUCAGAGGUGAAUUUGGAGAUUCUAAAAUUUUCAAACCCACCAAUGCUAGAGACAGACAGAUCCAAAUUUUUUCUGAUCGAUUUUGAUAUAUGGAACAUUGAAAUCGGAGUUCGUAUGUGAAAGUUAUGGUUGUUUUACGAAUGGACUACGAAUUAGAGGACAAAACGGUCCGAAAGUGGGAAAAAUUUUCGGCGGUGGCUAGAAAUUGAUGGAAACGGUGGGGAAAAAUACACGAACUAGACUCUAAUAAGACCUAACCAACAACAAGACCUCGACCAGGACACAAACUCGACACUGCGGACUAUGAAACUAAAAUAUGCAAAGGCUCUGGCACGGAAGGUUGUAGGACAGGAAAACGAUAUGGCACUGGACUUAUAGGACGAACACAAGAACACACGAAACUAAGGGUAGAUGUGAACCUAACAAUAUAUCUGAAGCUUUGAUUACCACUUGAUGGGAACAAGAGUGGCCCGAUAUUCUGAAAGGUUCUGGUAACUCUCGAUUUGGCGAAGACGAGACACAAAUCGAUCCGGCUUCCAAACAACACGAUUCGAAAUCCUGCAAUUUUAUUUUAUUUUUUUGAUAUUUUUCUUUUACUUAGGAGCAAUAAAGAAGUAACCAUAGAAAGUUUGAGGUUAAACAAGUGAAAGACGUGGCCUGCGGAAAUUUCUGAAAAUUGCAAAAAAUGUGAAAAAAAUUCACGAGGUGAAAACUCAAACUUCAGAGGCGAAUUUGGAGAUUCUAAAAUUUUCAAACCCACCAAUGGUAGAGACAGACAGAUCCAAAUUUUUUCUAAUCGAUUUUGAUAUAUAUGGAACAUUGAAAUCGGAGUUCGUAUGCGAAAGUUAUGGUUGUUUUACGAGCAAACUCCGAAUUAGAGGACAAAACAGUCCGAAAGUGGGAAAAAUUUGCGGCGGCGGCUAGAAAAUGAUGGAAACGGUGGGGAAAAUGCACAAACUGGACUCUAACAAGACCUCACCAGCAACAAGACCCUAACUAGGACACAAACUCGACACUAUGGACUCUGAAACUGAAAUAUGCAAAGGCUAUGGCGCGGAAGGGUUGUAGGACAGGGAAACGAUAUGGCACUGGACUUAUGGGAUGAACAUAAGAACACUCAAAACUAAGGGUAGAUGUGAACCUAACGGUAUACCUGAAGCUUUGAUUACCAUUUGAUGAGAACAAGGGUGGCCCGAUCUUCUGAAAGGUUCUGGUAACUCUCGAUUUGGUGGAGAUGAGAUACAAAUCGAUCUUGCUUCCGAACAACACGAUCCGAAACCCUACAAUUUUUUUAUUUUUUUGAUAUUUUUCUUUUACUAAGGAGCACUAAAGAAGUAACCACAUAAAAUUUGAGCCUAAACAAGUGAAAGCCGUGGUCGGUGGAAUUUUCUAAAAAUUGCAAAAAAUAUGAAAAAAACUUCAUGAGAUGAAAACUCAAAGUUCGUAGGUGAAUUUGGAGAUUCUAAAAUUUUCAAACCCGCCUUUGGCGGGGACAUACAGAUCUGAAAUUUUUUCUGAUCGAUUUUGAUAUAUGGAAUGUUGAAGUCGGAGUUCAUAUGCAAAAGUUAUGGCUAUUUUACGAAUAGACUCCGAAUUGGAGGACAAAACACUGUGUAAGUGGGAAAAAUUUGCGGCAGUGGCUAGAAAUUGAUGAAAAAUGUUGGGAAAAAACACACGAACUGGAUUCUAACAAGAUCUAACCAGCAACAAGACCUCGACCAGGACAUAAACUCAACACUACGGACUCUGAAACUGAAAUAUGCAAAGGCUAUGGCGUGGAAGGGAUGUAGGACAGGAAAACGAUAUCGCACUGGACUUAUGGGACAAACACAAGAACACUCGAAACUAAGGGUGAUGUCUAAUGGUAUACCUGAAGCUUUGAUUACCACUUGAUGAGAAUAAGGGUGGCCAAUUUUCCGAAAGGUUCUCGUAACUCGCGAUUUGGUGGAGACGAGAUACAAAUUGAUCCGACUUUCGAACAACAUGAUCCGAAACCCUGCACUUUUUUUAAUUUUUUUGAUAUUUUUCUUUUACUUAGGAGCACCAAAAGAAGUAACCACAAAAAAUUUAAGCUUAAACAAGUGAAAGACGUGACCUGCGGAUUUUUCUAAAUAUUGCAAAAAUGUGAAAAAAACUUCACGAGGUGAAAACUCAAACAUUGGAGGCGAAUUUGGAGAUUCUAAAAUAUUCAAACCCACCUUUGGAAGGGACAGACGGAUCCGAAAUUUUUUCUGAUUGAUUUUGAUAUAUGGAACGUUGAAAUCGGAGUUCGUAUGCGAAAGUUAUGGCUAUUUUACGAAUGGACUCCGAAUUAGAGGACAAAGCGGUCGGAGAGUGGGAAAAAUUUGCGGCAGUGGCUAGAAUUUGAUGGAAAACGGUGGGGAAAAACACACGAACUGGACUCUAACAAGACCUAACCAGCAACAAGACCUCGACCAAGACACAAACUCAAUACUGCGGAUUCUGAAACUGAAAUAUGCAAAGGCUAUGGUGCGGAAGGGAUGUAGGAGAGGAAAAUGAUAUGGCACUAGACUUGUGGGACGAACACAAGAACACUCGAAACUAAGGGUGAUGUGAACCUAACGGUAUACCUGAAGCUUUGAUUACCACUUGUUGAGAACAAGGGUGGCCCGAUCUUCCGAAAGGUUCUGGUAACUCUCGAUUUGGUGGAGACGAUAUACAAACAUAUCCGGCUUCCGAACAACAUGAUCCAAAACCUUGCAAUUUUUUAAUUUUUUUGAUAUUUUUCUUUUACUUAGGAGUACUAAAGAAGUAACCACAAAAAAUUUUUUUUGACACAACUUUGAUAUAUGGAAUAUUGAAAUCGGAGUUCGUAAGUGAAAGUUAUGGCUAUUUUACGAAUGGGAUCCGAAUUAGAGGAUAAUACGGUUCGAAAAUGGGAAAAAUUUGCGGCGGUGGCUACAAAUUGAUGGAAAACGGUGGGGAAAACACACGAACUGGACUCUAACAAGAUCUAACCAGCAACAAGACCUCGACCAGGACACAAACUCAACACUGCAUACUCUCAAACUGAAAUAUGCAAAGGCUAUGACGCUGAAGGGUUGUAGGACAGGAAAACGAUAUGGCACUGGACUUACGGGACGACCACAAGAACAUUAGAAACCAAAGGUAGAUGUGAACCUAAUGGUAUACCUGAAGCUUUGAUUAUCACUUGAUGAGAGCCAAGGUGACCUGAUCUUAUGAAAUGUUCUGGUAACUCUCGAUUUGGUGGAGACGAGAUACAAAUCGAUUCGGCUUCCAAACAACACGAUCCAAAACCCUGCAUUUUUUAAUUUUUUUUGAUAUUUUUCUUUUACUUAGGAGCACUAAAGAAGUAACCACAGAAAACUUGAGCUUAAACAAGUGAAAGACAUGGCCUGCGGAAUUUUCUGAAGAUUGCGAAAAAUGUGAAAUAAACUUCACGAGGUGAAAACUCAAAUUUCGAAGGCGAAUUUGGAGAUUCUAAAAUUUUCAAACCCGCCCCGGCUGGGGACGAACAAAUCCAAAAAAAUUUUCUGAUCGAUUUUGAUAUAUGGAACGUUGAAAUCGGAGUUCGUAUGUGAUGUUAAGGCUGUGUUACGAACGGACUCCGAAUUAGAGGACAAGACGGUCCGAAAGUGGAAAAAAUUUGCGGCGGUGGCUAGAAAUUGAUGGAAACGGUGGGGAAGAACACACGAACUGGACAACACACGAACUGGACUGUAACAAGACCUAACCAACAACAAGACCUGGACCAGGACACAAAUUCUAUGGUGCGGAAGGGUUGUAGAACAGGAAAAUGAUAUGACACUGGAGUUAUGGGACAAACACAAUAACACUCAAAACUAAGGGUAGAUGUGAACCUAACGGUAUACAUGAAACUUUGAUUACCACUUGAUGAGAACAAGGGUGGCCUGAUCUUCCGAAAGGUUCUGGUAUCUCUCGAUUUGGUGGAUACGAGAUACAAACUGAUCUGGGUUCCGAACAACACGAUCCGAAAUCCUGCAAUUUUUUUUAAUUUUUUGAUAUUUUUCUUUUACUUAGGAGCACUAAAGAAGUAACCACACAAAAUUUGAGCUUAAACAAGUGAAAGAAAAUUUGAGCUUAAACAAGUGAAAGACGUGGCCUGCAGAAUUUUUUGAAGAUUGCGAAAAAUGUGAAAUAAACUUCACGAGGUGAAAACUCAAACUUCAGAGGCGAAUUUGGAGAUUCUAAAAUUUUUAAACCCACCAAUGGCAGAGACAGACAGAUCCAAAAAUUUUUCUGACCGAUUUUGAUAUAUGGAACAAUAAAAUCGGUGUUCGUAUGUGAAAGUUAUGACUGUUUUACGCACGGACUCCGAAUUAGAUGACAAAACAGUGCGAAAGUGGGAAAAAUUUGCGGCGGUGGCUAGAAAUUGAAGGAAACGGUGGUGAAAAAUACACGAACUAGACUCUAACAAGACCUAACCAACAACAAGACCUCGACCAGGAACCAAACUCAACACUGCGGACUCCGAAGCUAAAAUAUGCAAUGGCUAUGGUGCGGAAGGGUUGUUGGACAGAAAAACGAUAUGGCACUGGACUUAUGGGAUGAACACAAGAACACUCGAAACUAAGGGUAGAUGUGAACCUAACGGUAUACCUGAAGCUUUGAUUACCACUUGAUGAGACCAAGGGUGGCUCGAUGUUCCGAAAGGUUCUGGUAACUCUCGAUUUGGUGGAGACGAGACACAAAUCGAUCUGGCUUCCGAACAACACGAUCCAAAAUCUUGCAAUUCUAUUUUGAUAUUUUUCUUUUCUUAGGAGCAGUAAAGAAGUAACCAUAGGAAACUUGAGCUUAAACAAGUGAAAGACGUGGCCUGCAGAAAUUUCUGAAGAUUGCGGAAAAUGUGAAAAAAAUUCACGAGGUGAAAACUCAAACUUUGGAGGCGAAUUUGUAGAUUCUAAAAUUUUCAAACCCACCAAUGGCAGAGACAGACAGAUCCAAAAAAAUUUUCAGACCGAUUUUGAUAUAUGGAACAUUGAAAUCGGUGUUCGUAUGCGAAAGUUAUGGCUAUUUUUCAAAUGGACUCCGAAUUAGAGGAUAAAAUGGUUCGAAAGUGGUAAAAAUUUGAGGCGGUGGCUAGAAAUUGAUGGAAACGGUGGGGAAGAAAUACAUAAACUGGACUUUAAGCAGACCUAACCAGCAACAAGACCCCAACCAGGACACAAACUCGACACUGCGGACUCAAAAACAGAAAUAUGUAAAGGCUAUGGCACGGAAGGAUUGUAGGACAGAAAAACGAUAUGGCACUAGACUUAUUGGACGAACACAAGAACACUCGAAACUAAGGGUAGAUGUGAACCUAAUGAUAUACCUAAAGCUGAUUACCACUGGAUGAGAACAAACGGUGGCCCGAUCUUCCCAAAGGUUCUGGUAACUCUCGAUUUGGCGGAUACGAGAUACAAAUCGAUCUGGGUUCCAAACAACACGAUCCGAAAUCCUGCAAUUUUUCUAAAUUUUUUUUAUAUAUUUCUUUUACUUAGAAGCACUAAAGAAGUAACCACAGAAAAUUUGAGCUUAACAAGUGAAAGACGUGGCCUGCAGAAUUUUUGGAAGAUUGUGAAAAAUGUGAAAUAAACUUCACGAGGUGAAAACUGAAACUUCAGAGGCGAAUUUGGAGAUUCUAAAAUUUUCAAACCCACCAAUGGCAGAGACAGACAGAUCCAAACUUUUUUUCUGACCAAUUUUGAUAUAUGGAACAAUGAAAUCGGUGUUCGUAUGUGAAAGUUAUGGUUAUUUUAAGAACGGACUCCGAAUUAGAUGGCAAAACGGUCCGAAAGUGGGAAAAAAUUGCGGCGGUGGCUAGAAAUUGAUGGAAACGGUGGGGAAAAAUACACAAACUGGACUCUAACAAGACCUAACCAGCAACAAGCCCCCAACCAUGACACAAACUCGACACUGCGGACUCUGAAACUGAAGUAUGCAGAGGCUAUGGCGCGGAAUGGUUGUAGGGAAGAAAAACGAUAUGGCACUAGACGUAUGGGACGACCACAAGAACACUCAAAACUAAGGAUAGAUGUGAACCUAAUGGUAUACCUGAAGCUUUGAUUACCACUUAAUGAGAACAAGGGUGACCCGAUCUUUCGAAACGUUCUGGUAACUCUUGAUUUGGUGGAGACGAGACACAAAUCGAUCUGGCUUCCGAACAACACGAUCCAAAAUCCUGCAAUUUUUUUUUUUGAUAUUUUUCUUUUCUUAGGAGCAAUAAAGAAGUAACCACAGAAAACUUGAGCUUAAACAAGUGAAAGACGUGGAGUGCAGAAAUUUCUGAAGAUUGCGAAAAAUGUGAAAAAAAAUCACGAGGUGGAAACUCAAACUUUGGAGGCGAAUUUGUAGAUUCUAAAAUUUUCAAACCCACCAAUGGCAGAGACAGACAGAUCCAAAAAAUUUUUCUGACAGAUGUUGAUAUAUGGAACAUUGAAAUCGGUGUUCGUAUGCGAAAGUUAUGGUUGUUUUACGAACUGACUCCGAAUUAGAGGACAAAACGGUCCGAAAGUGGGAAAAAUUUUUGACGGUGGCUAGAAAUUGAUGGAAACGGUGGGGAAAAAUACACGAACUGGACUCUAACAAGACCUAACCAACAACAAGACCUCGACUAGGACACAAACUCAACACUGCGGACUCUGAAACUGAAAUAUGCAAAGGCUAUGACGCGGAAGGGUUGUAGGACAAGAAAACGAUAUGGCACUGGACUUAUGGGACGAACACAAGAGCACUCGGAACUAAAGUGUAGAUGUGAACUUAACGGUAUACCUGAAGCUUUGAUUACCACUUGAUGAGAACAAGGGUGGCCCGAUCUUCCGAAAGCUUAUGGUAACUCUCGAUUUGGCGGAGACGAGACACAAAUCGAUUCGGCUUCCAAACAACACAAUCCAAAAUCCUACUAUUUUUUAUUUUUUUAUAUUUUUCUUUUACUUAGGAGCAAUAAAGAAGUAACCACAGAAAAUUUAAGCUUAAACA